This 253-nucleotide ribosomal RNA is filed under the name uncultured prokaryote. Its description in RNAcentral is "partial 16S ribosomal RNA". It matches the Rfam family "Bacterial small subunit ribosomal RNA", at positions 524 to 776 of the family's 1533-position model. The record is from RNAcentral.
UACGGAGGGGGCGAGCGUUGUCCGAAGUUACUGGGCGUAAAGCGCGCGUAGGUGGGUUGGUAAGUCCGCUGUGAAAGCCCGGAGCUUAACUCCGGAGGGUCGGUGGAUACUACCAGUCUUGAAGGUGCUAGGGGGAGAUGGAAUUACCGGUGUAGCGGUGAAAUGCGUAGAUAUCGGGAGGAACACCUGUGGCGAAAGCGGCGCACUGGACCACAUCUGACGCUGAGGCGCGAAAGCUAGGGGAGCAAACAGG